CAAUAGCGUAUAUUAAAGUUGUUGCGGUUAAAAAGACUCGUAGUUGGAUUUCUUGCCGGAGGACGACCGGUCCGCCCUCUGGGUGAGUAUCUGGCUUGGCCUGGGCAUCUUCUUGGAGAACGUAGCUGCACUUGACUGUGUAGGUGCGGUAUCCAGGACUUUUACUUUGAGGAAAUUAGAGUGUUUCAAGCAGGCAUGCGCCUUGAAUACAUUAGCAUGGAAUAAUAAGAUAGGACCUCGGUUCUAUUUUGUUGGUUUCUAGAGCUGAGGUAAUGAUUAAUAGGGAUAGUUGGGGGCAUUCGUAUUUAACUGUCAGAAGGUGAAAUUUCUUGGAUUUGUUAAAGACGGUACUACUGCGAAAGUCAUUUUGCCAAGGAUGUUUUCGAUUGAUC
This 392-nucleotide ribosomal RNA is filed under the name uncultured eukaryote. Its description in RNAcentral is "SSU rRNA". It matches the Rfam family "Eukaryotic small subunit ribosomal RNA", at positions 592 to 978 of the family's 1831-position model. The record is from RNAcentral.